CAUCACUACGCUAGAUGCAUAUCAAUAAGCGGAGGAAAAGAAACUAACAAGGAUUCCCUUAGUAACGGCGAGUGAAGCGGGAAGAGCUCAAAUUUGAAAUCUUCAAGGUUCUACCUUGACGAAUUGUAGUUUAUAGAAGUGUUUUCUGUUAGUAGAGUGGCAAAAGUUCUUUGGAAUAGGACAUCAUAGAGGGUGAGAAUCCCGUAUUUGGUCAUUCUUUCUAGCUUUGUGAUACACUUUCAACGAGUCGGAUUGUUUGGGAAUGCAGUCCAAAAUGGGUGGUAAAUUUCAUCUAAAGCUAAAUAUUGGCGAGAGACCGAUAGCGAACAAGUACCGUGAGGGAAAGAUGAAAAGAACUUUGAAAAGAGAGUUAAACAGUACGUGAAAUUGUCAAAAGGGAAGCGUUUGACACCAGUGUUGUUUUUCCGAAAAUCAAUUACGAAUGUUUUGUUUUUAAGAAGUUAUGACUUCAUCGGCUUGCUCCUUUCUUUAUGAAACUUUCUUAAUGCACUUUUCAGGUUAACAAGUCAGCAUCAAUUUCUUUUGUUGUAAAAGGGUGAGAGGAAGGUGGCUUUCUCUUCGGCGCAAGUGUUUAUAGCCUUGUACCUCUGCAAUCGGAGAGAUUGAGGUCUGCAGCGUAGAUCCUUCGGGGUUAGAUACAUUUGUGCUAAGCUAUAGCCUUGUAUAGACAACUUGUUGUACUAUGCUCAGUCAUGUAGCUUACUCGCUUAUGCUAUUUUACCUACGCUUAGGAUGUUGAUAUGCAUGACUGAUAU
Molecule: ribosomal RNA, 776 nt
Filed under: uncultured Neocallimastigales
Lineage: Eukaryota; Fungi; Neocallimastigomycota; Neocallimastigomycetes; Neocallimastigales
Description: partial large subunit ribosomal RNA
Rfam family: Eukaryotic large subunit ribosomal RNA
Source: RNAcentral